AUCGCAAUGAAGCCACAUCUUUCUACAACUUUUGAAAGAAGCAGAAGUGAUCCAGUAGGUCCGACCCACCUGCAAGGGGAGAGGCUUACGCAAGAGCAUGAAAACCUGAGGACAGAGACCACCAGGACCAACAAAGGCUGCGGACCACAGAGACACUCUUUAUUCAUGGAAUAAACCUGGAGCCUGAUUCUCCCACGGCGAGCCUCCUGAAAUGAUAGAAGCUAUGGAGGGAGGCCACAUGUCAGCAUUAUUAUUGUUCAUCAUUCAUUCAGGCCCACAAAAGCGAGAGCAUCUCCAUACGGGUGUGGAUUUUAAAAUCAGGAAAGCAGGCCAGACUGAAUUCAUGCUUAGGCACAGCUGCUCAGAACUGACCACCCUAAGGGGCCCACUGUUAAUAACUCAUCCUUUCUGAUGAUCCGCCCACCGCCUGUUGUGGCUGCUGCCACUGUUCAGCUCUGUCCCCUGCCCUGAGAAACAUGUGCUGCCAGAGGUUCGUCCUCACAAUAAUAACCGCUAACGCUGAGUGAGAGCAUGUGAUGGUCAAGUACAGAGUCUGGCACUUUAUGUUCAUCACCGUGUUUCAUCCUCACCACGACCCUGUUCUGUGGAUCGGGCUGGACGCAUCAGGAGGUGGGAGUCCCUGUCGUCUGGGCACUGAUCAGUGCCUGAAUGCUCUCAGGGACACUCCCCUUCAUUAAAGCAGACAGUUAGACAUUAACAGCUCUCAUGACUCAAUAUAUAACUGAAUCGUUAUAUUAUGGGCACAUUGCACAACUGUUCACUUAGAAAAUCUAAAAGAAUCAGCUAAAAACUAUUAGAAAAACUUAGUGAAGUGUAUAAAAUGAAACACUACCAUGCCACUUUAGGACUCU
RNAcentral lists this long non-coding RNA (872 nucleotides) under Pan troglodytes (chimpanzee). RNAcentral describes it as "long non-coding RNA NONPTRT009390". The record is from RNAcentral. Lineage: Eukaryota; Metazoa; Chordata; Mammalia; Primates; Hominidae.